This is a long non-coding RNA of Silurus meridionalis, 1286 nucleotides long. RefSeq lists it as uncharacterized. The record is from RefSeq and is a predicted model, not a curated record. The transcript has 3 exons. NCBI's taxonomy places the organism in Eukaryota, Metazoa, Chordata, Actinopteri, Siluriformes, Siluridae.
UUGCGCUUGAGCUGGAUAUACAGUAGUACAAUUUAAAAUGAGCAACAACAGCAAGAAAAUGUCAAAUAAUAAUAAUAAUAAUAAUAAUAAUAAUAAUAAUAAUAAUAAUAAUAUCCUGAGAAUAUCUUUUGUGUUGUACAUCCUAUAAAGGUGGGGAGCGGUUUGGUUUUUCAUUGCGAUCUCCGAUGUGACGAUGUGAAUCUUAUCAAAAGCAUCAUAAUAUUUAGAAUAAAUACGAGGGUGGCGCUCUGGGAAAAAAAUGUGAUUCCAUUUAUUUGGAAUAAAGUAAAUAAAUUGCGCAUUAUUAUUGGGUGAUAUUUUCAUUUCCAGUUCAUCAAACAAUCUCCCGGGCAUCAGUGCAUGAAAAUUAUGGAUUGUGUAAUAAAAGCAUAAGGAUGAUAAUAACAACAACAAUAAUAAUAAUAAUAAUAAUAAUAAUAAUAAUAAUAAUAAUUGCACUACGUAGUAUCUUUGAUUUGCAUUUGGCUCAUUUAGACACCACGUGUAAGUCGCUGUGUGCGUGCGCGCGCCCGCGUGCUCGUGCGCGUGUGCGAGUUCGCGUAAUUAAAACUGUAGGCCUCUCUUCCCCUUUUGAGUGACAGUCGGAGCUCCCGCGUUUCGCGCAUGCUCGGUGUCACGCCGCUGCACUCGGCUCUGGUCCAUAAACCCAGAGAAGGAAAAAGAAAAGAAACUGCAUGCCGAAUACGUCGGUAUGAGAUUUAGUGCUGUAGUAAACGGUUUCGUUCAGAGUCACGUACAGGGAAAAAGUUAAAAUGUAGCUCUAUAUUUGUUUUUUGCUUUUGUAACCUUUCCUAUUUAGUCAAGAAGACAGCUUGUUGACACUGCUGUGUACAGCCUUAUAAUAAACUAGAGUGCAAUGCGAUAUAAAAUAAUAAUAAUUUAAAAAAAAACGAAAACGGGGAGGAAAAAAUCUUCUUUGUCAGUAAGUAGGUGUGGACUGUUUCUGCCUGCACUGUAAUAUCGCCUCGUGUUGCGCAAAGCUGGUUCCGGGUUUGUGGGCUGCAGCUCGACCACAAAAUGAAACAUUUCAGGUUUAAGGUCGUGUACACACGGCAGAGAUUCAUGCAGCAGCAUCCGGCCUCUCCAUCAGAGUUUCAGCGCUAAAAUAAACAGCGCAGCAGGCUGAACGUAAGACUCGGGUGUAAAGACUCGUCUUGGUAUUCAAAAUGCGAGAAGGCAUCAGAUGCUCACCGUGCGGUGGAGGAUACCUCUGCACGGCCCUGUUCCCGUAGUACGGGUGACCGCUCUGUGAGUCGAUGUUGAAG